AGUGAACGCUGGCGGUAGGCCUAACACAUGCAAGUCGAACGGCAGCACAGCAAGAGCUUGCUCUUACGGGUGGCGAGUGGCGGACGGGCGAGGAAUGCAUCGGAAUCUACUUUUUCGUGGGGGAUAACGUAGGGAAACUUACGCUAAUACCGCAUACGACCUACGGGUGAAAGCAGGGGAUCUUCGGACCUUGCGCGAUUGAAUGAGCCGAUGUCGGAUUAGCUAGUUGGCGGGGUAAAGGCCCACCAAGGCGACGAUCCGUAGCUGGUCUGAGAGGAUGAUCAGCCACACUGGAACUGAGACACGGUCCAGACUCCUACGGGAGGCAGCAGUGGGGAAUAUUGGACAAUGGGCGCAAGCCUGAUCCAGCCAUACCGCGUGGGUGAAGAAGGCCUUCGGGUUGUAAAGCCCUUUUGUUGGGAAAGAAAAGCAGCAGGUUAAUACCCCGCUGUUCUGACGGUACCCAAAGAAUAAGCACCGGCUAACUUCGUG
This 492-nucleotide ribosomal RNA is filed under the name uncultured bacterium. Its description in RNAcentral is "partial 16S ribosomal RNA". It matches the Rfam family "Bacterial small subunit ribosomal RNA", at positions 29 to 507 of the family's 1533-position model. The record is from RNAcentral.